AGAGUUUGAUUAUGGCUCAGGAUGAACGCUAGCGAUAGGCCUAACACAUGCAAGUCGAGGGGCAGCACAUGAAGUAGCAAUACGGAUGGUGGCGACCGGCGCACGGGUGAGUAACGCGUAUGCAACCUGCCUACAACAGGGGAAUAACCCGUUGAAAGACGGACUAAUACCCCAUAACACAGGGAUCCCGCAUGGGAAUAUUUGUUAAAGAUUUAUCGGUUGUAGAUGGGCAUGCGUUCCAUUAGCUGGUUGGUGAGGUAACGGCUCACCAAGGCAACGAUGGAUAGGGGAACUGAGAGGUUUAUCCCCCACACUGGUACUGAGACACGGACCAGACUCCUACGGGAGGCAGCAGUGAGGAAUAUUGGUCAAUGGACGCAAGUCUGAACCAGCCACGUCGCGUGAAGGAAGACGGCCCUACGGGUUGUAAACUUCUUUUGUAAGGGAAUAAAGUGUAGUACGUGUACUAUUUUGCAUGUACCUUACGAAUAAGGAUCGGCUAACUCCGUGCCAGCAGCCGCGGUAAUACGGAGGAUCCGAGCGUUAUCCGGAUUUAUUGGGUUUAAAGGGUGCGCAGGCGGGAGAUUAAGUCGGCGGUGAAAUUUUGCAGCUCAACUGUAAAAGUGCCUUCGAAACUGGUUUUCUUGAGUGUGGAUGAAGUAGGCGGAAUUUGUGGUGUAGCGGUGAAAUGCAUAGAUAUCACGAGGAACUCCGAUUGCGCAGGCAGCUUACUAAACCAUAACUGACGCUCAGGCACGAAGGCGUGGGGAUCAAACAGGAUUAGAUACCCUGGUAGUC
Molecule: ribosomal RNA, 798 nt
Filed under: uncultured Porphyromonadaceae bacterium
Lineage: Bacteria; Pseudomonadati; Bacteroidota; Bacteroidia; Bacteroidales; Porphyromonadaceae
Description: bacterial SSU rRNA
Rfam family: Bacterial small subunit ribosomal RNA
Source: RNAcentral